Molecule: microRNA precursor, 61 nt
Filed under: Panagrellus redivivus
Lineage: Eukaryota; Metazoa; Nematoda; Chromadorea; Rhabditida; Panagrolaimidae
Description: microRNA prd-mir-7909 precursor
Source: miRBase by way of RNAcentral
AGGAAUGUUAUUGCGUCUUCGAUUUGUACGAUUUAAUAAUCCAGAGCAAUAACAAUCCUGU